GCUCUGUCCCUCCGUCGGGGAAGCAUGGGGCUUACUAGGCUGAUCUGCGCCUUCUUGCUCGCAGCCUGCUGCUGCUGUCGCCGCGUCACGGGUGUGCCAGGAGAGGACAAACAGCCUACACCCACACCAGACGUGGUGGAGGUGGAAGUGGGCCACACAGCCUACCUGAAUUGUGGCCCCCCACGGCAUUCCUCAGUCAACUUAACCCACGUGGACUGGUUUUUGAUUCACAAGGAGAGGCAGAUACCCAUUUUCCGUGUGCGCCAGGGCCGGGGCCAGAAUGAACCUGGGGAAUACGAGCACCGCCUUAGCCUCAAGGAUUCGGGAGAUGCUCUGGCCCUGAGUCAAGUCACUCCCCAUGAUGAGCGUGUGUUCCUCUGCAAGAGCAAGCGGCCACGGCUCCAGGACCACUACACUGAGCUUCAAGUCUACAAAGCUCCGGAAGAGCCAACCAUCCAGGCCAAUGCCAUGGGCAUCCACGUGGACAGACAGGAGCUUAGGGAGGUUGCUACCUGUGUGGGGAGGAAUGGGUAUCCCAUUCCUCAAGUCAUCUGGUACAAGAAUGGUCGGCCCCUGCAAGAGGAGGAGAACCGUGUUCAGAUUCAGUCGUCACAGAUUGUGGAGUCCAGUGGCUUGUACACCUUGCAGAGUGUUCUGAAGGCUCAGCUAGUUAAGGAGGACAAAGAUGCCCAGUUUUACUGUGAACUCAACUACCGGUUGCCCAGUGGGAACCACAUGAAGGAAUCUCGGGAGGUCACUGUUCCUGUUUUCUACCCUGCAGAAAAAGUGUGGGUGGAAGUAGAGCCUAUGGGACUGCUGAAGGAAGGGGAUCAUGUGAAAAUCAGGUGUCUGACGGACGGCAACCCUCAGCCCGACUUCACUAUCAACAAGCAGAACCCCAACACUGGGGAGACGGAGGAGGAAACCACCGAUGAAAACGGUAUCCUGAUCUUGGAACCUGCACAGAGGCAACACAGUGGGCUCUACCAGUGUCACAGCCUGGACUUGGAAACUAUGAUCACCCUGUCAAGUGACCCCCAGGAGCUGCUCGUGAACUAUGUGUCUGAUGUUCGAGUGAAUCCACCUGCCCCUGAAGCCCAGGAAGGCGACAGCCUCACACUGACCUGUGAGGCAGGGAGUAACCAGGACCUUGAGUUCGAGUGGCUGAGAGACAAGACAGGCCAGCUGCUGGGCAAGGGGCCUGACCUCCAGCUAAACAACGUGAAACGGGAAGCAGGGGGACAGUAUCUCUGCAUGGCAUCUGUUCCUAGUGUUCCUGGCUUGAAUCGCACACAGCUGGUCAGCGUGGGCAUUUUUGGGUCCCCGUGGAUGGCGUUAAAGGAGAGGAAGGUGUGGGUGCAGGAGAAUGCAGUGCUGAACCUGUCUUGUGAGGCUUCAGGACAUCCUCGGCCCACCAUCUCCUGGAAUGUCAACGGCUCGGCAACUGAAUGGAACCCAGAUCCACAGACAACUGUGAGCACCCUCAAUGUCCUUGUGACCCCAGAGCUGCUGGAGACAGGUGCAGAAUGUACAGCCUCCAACUCCCUGGGCUCAAAUACCACCGCCAUCGUCCUGAAUCUGGUCACUUUAACCACCCUCACACCCGACCUCCGCCAGACCACUGGCCUCGGCACCUCCACAGUCGGUCCUCACACCAGAGCCAACAGCACCUCCACAGAGAAAAAGCUGCCACAGCCAGAGAGCAAAGGUGUGGUCAUUGUGGCUGUGAUCGUGUGUAUCUUGGUCCUUGCUGUACUGGGUGCUACCCUCUAUUUCUUCUACAAGAAGGGCAAACUGCCGUGUGGACGCUCAGGAAAACAAGAGAUUUGCCAACCUCUCACCUCCCUCCUCCCAGCACGCUGCCCCCGACUCGUAAGAGUGAAUUUGUAGUUGAAGUUAAGUCAGAUAAGCUCCCAGAAGAGAUGGCUCUCCUACAGGGCAGCGCCGGUGACAAGAGGGCUCCAGGAGAACAGGGAGAGAAAUACAUCGAUCUGAGGCAUUAGCUGACUCACCAAUGUUUCCGGCUCAGUCUUCACCCCAAGCUAAAGGGACAGCAGGGACGACUCCCACUCAGGUUCAGAGACCAGGUCCAGAGGGCCAAGAAUUGGGACAAGCGCCAUUUGGAGGAUCUCAUUUGGCCAUGGAGGCCUUGCUAUAGAGACCAAGUCCUCCUUUGUGUCCACUGAGUAAUGCUUAUCCCAAGUGACUGGGAGCCUCAGUCUCCCAGGAAUGGGGUUUUGUGUGUGUCCCCCACCCCUCCUGCUUUUCCCAAAUGGAUUUUUUCUGUGCACAGCCAAAGGUCGCAUAUCCACCUUCUGCCAUCAGCUGUGUGGGCCUGUCCCUCUGAGCAGGUGUUCUCCCCUCACAGGCUGUAUCACAUGAUAUGGAACCUGGACACGUGGUCACAUACACUGUUCACACUGCUCCUCAAGAGAGGCCCACAGUCCAGAGGCAGCUGCAGCACUGCUUCUCUGCCUGCCUGCCUGCUGCUCUUUCAGGGUCUUUUGGGGUCUUUUCCCUUUGGGCAGAAGACAGGGAUUGGUGGUAAUCCUUCAGUGCGUGAGGAAGGAAGCUCGGCACUGUUGUUUGUUUUGGAGUGAAAGCUGUUUACUGAGCCUGAGCUUCCUGCUCCCUCAGUGGAUAAUGGGAGACUGAAAGAGAAGCCAUGGGACAGAGAGGAGGUCUACUGGGAUGGGGAUUAAGCUCAUAGGUAGAUUAGUACCAAAUUUCUACGUGUGAGUUUAUGGGCCCAGAUCCCAGGAGAGUCUGUGGGACAAUGGUACUUAAGAGAUGAAAACCUGGCCUGGGCAAGAGCUAUUGGAGUAUGUGUGCAUCUAUGAGUGUGUGUGUACAUACAUAAAUAUAUAUAUAUAUAUAUGGUUUUGUCUGUAAAUUUGCAAAUUGUUUCCUUUUAUAUAUUAUGUGUUAGAAAAAUAAAGUGUUAUUGUCCCAAAA
RNA transcript from Myodes glareolus (Bank vole), 2955 nucleotides. It is a transcript of the gene named melanoma cell adhesion molecule, with no coding region annotated. Lineage: Eukaryota; Metazoa; Chordata; Mammalia; Rodentia; Cricetidae. The record is from RefSeq and is a predicted model, not a curated record.